RNAcentral lists this ribosomal RNA (1043 nucleotides) under uncultured bacterium. Its description in RNAcentral is "bacterial SSU rRNA". It matches the Rfam family "Bacterial small subunit ribosomal RNA", at positions 76 to 1128 of the family's 1533-position model. The record is from RNAcentral.
CGCUGCGGUAGAUGGCGACCGGCGCACGGGUGCGUAACGCGUAUGGAACCUGCCUUUUACAGGGGAAUAGCCCAGAGAAAUUUGGAUUAAUGCCCCAUGGUUCUGCGGGGGCGCAUGUUCCCGCAGAUAAAGUUUCGGCGGUAAAAGAUGGCCAUGCGUGGCAUUAGGUAGUUGGUGGGGCAACGGCCCACCAAGCCUGCGAUGCCUAGGGGUUCUGAGAGGAAGGCCCCCCACACUGGUACUGAGACACGGACCAGACUCCUACGGGAGGCAGCAGUGAGGAAUAUUGGUCAAUGGGCGUAAGCCUGAACCAGCCAUGUCGCGUGGAGGAAGACUGCCCUAUGGGUUGUAAACUCCUUUUGUGCGGGAAUAACCUUGCCUACGUGUAGGCAGUUGAAUGUACCGUACGAAUAAGCAUCGGCUAACUCCGUGCCAGCAGCCGCGGUAAUACGGAGGAUGCGAGCGUUAUCCGGAUUUAUUGGGUUUAAAGGGUGCGUAGGCGGACAAUUAAGUCAGUGGUGAAAUCCUGCGGCUCAACCGUAGAACUGCCUUUGAUACUGGUUGUCUUGAAUUUAGUUGAGGUGGGCGGAAUGUGUCGUGUAGCGGUGAAAUGCAUAGAUAUGACACAGAACACCGAUUGCGAAGGCAGCCCUCCAAGCUACAAUUGACGCUGAUGCACGAAAGCGUGGGUAGCGAACAGGAUUAGAUACCCUGGUAGUCCACGCCGUAAACGAUGAUCACCCGUUGUUGGCGACACACAGUCAGCGACCUAGCGAAAGCAUUAAGUGAUCCACCUGGGGAGUACGUCGGCAACGAUGAAACUCAAAGGAAUUGACGGGGGCCCGCACAAGCGGAGGAACAUGUGGUUUAAUUCGAUGAUACGCGAGGAACCUUACCUGGACUUAAAUGUGGGCUGCAUGGGCCAGAGAUGGCCCUUUCUUCGGACCGCCCACAAGUGCUGCAUGGUUGUCGUCAGCUCGUGCCGUGAGGUGCCGGGUUAAGUCCCAUACGAGCGCAACCCCUGUCGUAGUUACAGCACGUGA